AGUGGAUGGAUGGACAGGCAGACAGAUGCAUGCAGACGAAUAUUUAGAUACAUAAGAAGGUAGAUGGGUCAGUAUUGAUGGAUGACUAAUGGGAUGAGAGGUAGCUGACGUUCCGCACAUAUUUUCUGGCAAAAUGGAUGCAUGGACUGAUGGGAAAGAAUGGAAGCUAGGACUAAGGGAGGAGAGCCUCGCUGGCGCGCCUGCUAGGCGAGUCACCUCGGCUCUGCGCUCUCGGCCGCCUCCAAGGCCUCCAAGUCACCUUUAAUCAUGAAAACCCAGGAGCCGGGAAGCUAGGACGCGGGCUUGAUCCUCCCACACCUGCGAGCUAUGGAUCUUCUGGAGUACACGAAAGGAGAUAUCGCUGGGUCCUCAGACUGUUGACGCGUCCUUCCAAGGAACUGAUAAGCCCAGGCCCCUAGGACGGGAUGCUAGGACUCCAGUGUGGGGCCUUGCUGUGAACCCCUUCCCAAGUGUUUGCUUCCCUGAUGGGCCUUUGCCAAAAGGCCCUCUUGACACCGAAAAGGAUGACGACUCAGGUUCUGCGGCAGCCAAUGCCCCUCCCCCAACUCUCUGCACUCACUGGUGGGGGCCACGGUC
Molecule: long non-coding RNA, 597 nt
Filed under: Rattus norvegicus (Norway rat)
Lineage: Eukaryota; Metazoa; Chordata; Mammalia; Rodentia; Muridae
Description: long non-coding RNA NONRATT019886
Source: RNAcentral